This 756-nucleotide ribosomal RNA is filed under the name Triticum aestivum (bread wheat). RNAcentral describes it as "partial small subunit ribosomal RNA". Lineage: Eukaryota; Viridiplantae; Streptophyta; Magnoliopsida; Poales; Poaceae. The record is from RNAcentral.
AUGGAGGAUUUCGUUUCAUGGAAUUAUAACCGGACAGGGAUAUUCACGGUUAAGACAGCCUAUCAUAUGGAGUGGGAUCAGCAGCAUGGACGAAAGUUGUGGAGAACGAACUCUAUGAUAUCCGCAAGUACUAGUCCUAUAUGGAGUAUCCUUUGGAAAUUGCGAGUCCCAGCCAAAGUGAAAAUUCACUACUGGAGGGCACUAUAUGGGGCAAUACCCUGUCGGGGCAUUAUGGCUAAUCGGCAUAUGAUCACUAACUCAUUGUACCCUAUUUGCGGUCCGGAUUGUGAGAGUAUCAGUCAUGCUUUCUUCAAGUGUCAACAUGUUCAAGCUAUCUGGAGUGCACUGGGCAUGGCAAACAUGAUCAACGAGCUUUGAUCCCUAGAAAGGGAAGGUGCGACAGUGUUGGCUUACCUACUUCUAACUCCUAAUGUAUCGGCAUCGCUGCUUCCGAGUGUUAACUGCAAAGAGGUAAUUGCAACGACAGUUUGAGCAAAGAAAAAGGGUCCAGGCCAGAUUGGGAGACAUGGAUGGACCAAGCCAAGUGAGGGAUUUGUAAAACUCAAUGUAGAUGCCUCUUUUUUUGAGNNNNNNNNNNNNNNNNNNNNNNNNNNAAUCUUACGCGACACUUCUGGAUCUUUCAUUGCAGCAUCAUGUAGCGACAUUCGGUUCGUUGAGGACGCGGCGACAGCGGAAGCCCGAGGCUCCGAGACGGCCUCAUUCUGGCAAACGACAUGGGUUGCAACAAACUGGUGA